UACGUAGGGUGCAAGCGUUGUCCGGAAUUAUUGGGCGUAAAGGGCUCGUAGGCGGCCAACUAAGUCAGACGUGAAAUCCCUCGGCUUAACCGGGGAACUGCGUCUGAUACUGGAUGGCUUGAGUUUGGGAGAGGGACGCGGAAUUCCAGGUGUAGCGGUGAAAUGCGUAGAUAUCUGGAGGAACACCGGUGGCGAAGGCGGCGUCCUGGACCAACACUGACACUGAGGAGCGAAAGCCAGGGGAGCAAACGGG
RNAcentral lists this ribosomal RNA (253 nucleotides) under uncultured bacterium. RNAcentral's name for it is "partial 16S ribosomal RNA". It matches the Rfam family "Bacterial small subunit ribosomal RNA", at positions 524 to 776 of the family's 1533-position model. The record is from RNAcentral.